GAUCCUGCCGGACCCCACUGCUAUCGGGAUAGGACUAAGACAUGCUAGUCGAGCGCCUCCCAGCCACGACGGAGGCGCGGCGCACAGCUCAGUAACACGUGGCUAACCUGCCCUCGGGACGGGAAUACCCCCGGGAAACUGGGGCUAAUUCCCGAUAGGUGAAGAACUCUGGAAUGAGUCUCCGCCCAAAAGACGCUUAAAUCAUGCUUUUAGGCGCCGCCCAAGGAUGGGGCCGCGACCGAUCAGGUAGUUGGUGAGGCAACGGCUCACCAAGCCUUUAACCGGUGCGGGCCGUGGGAGCGGGAGCCCGGAGAUGGGCACUGAGACAAGGGCCCAGGCCCUACGGGGCGCAGCAGUCGCGAAAACUUUGCAAUACACGAAAGUGUGACAGGGCUAUCCCGAGUGCCAUCCGCUGAGGAAGGCUUUUACCCAGUCUAGAAAGCUGGGCGAAUAAGGAGAGGGCAAGUCUGGUGUCAGCCGCCGCGGUAAUACCAGCUCUCCGAGUGGUGUGGAUGUUUAUUGGGCCUAAAGCAUCCGUAGCUGGCCAAGUUAGUCCCCUGUUAAAUCCACCGAAUUAAUCGUUGGUGUGCGGGGGAUACUGCUCGGCUAGGGGACGAGAGAGGCCGACGGUAUUUUCGGGGUAGGGGUGAAAUCCUAUAAUCCCGGGAAGACCACCAGUGGCGAAGGCUGUCGGCUAGAACGCGCCCGACGGUGAGGGAUGAAAGCUGGGGUAGCGAACCGGAUUAGAUACCCGGGUAGUCCCAGCUGUAAACGAUGCAGGCUAGGUGUUUGGGCGGCCACGUGCCGCUCUAGUGCCGCAGGGAAGCUGUUAAGCCUGCCGCCUGGGGAGUACGGUCGCAAGGCUGAAACUUAAAGGAAUUGGCGGGGGAGCACCACAAGGGGUGAAGCUUGCGGUUUAAUUGGAGUCAACGCCGGG
Molecule: ribosomal RNA, 937 nt
Filed under: uncultured archaeon
Lineage: Archaea
Description: bacterial SSU rRNA
Rfam family: Archaeal small subunit ribosomal RNA
Source: RNAcentral